GUUCUCUUCAGUCUCUCUCUGGUUGGGCGUUGGGAAGCAGCCCGGCUCUGCAGCUUCCCGGGUCAGGGUACUGGCAGAGUGAGGAUGGCCCCAGCGAAGUGACCCCAGGGAGGACGAGCUCUGGGCGAACAGCUGCUCCUGCCUCGCCCUGGCACAAAAGCCUGUCUCACCAGAAUACCUGGACCAGUCUCCUAGGGCUGUUAUGAGCAAGUGCCACCAACUGGUGGCUUGAAACAGCGUGCGGGCUCUCGAUGUCUCCUGCUAAUGGUGAAUCUGUCAGCGCCCACAGCGCCAGCCCUCGACUCUCAGAGCAUCAAGGACGACAUCACGGCUACAGCUAGCUGCUGGAGCAUCUGCCUUCAAACCCAGACCUUGUCUUUGAGUGGUCAAGGUUAUUACCCAACUUACCUGGUCACAGAUCUAACAAUCUCCACUCCACUUACACUGCUGUGGAAAUGAGUUGAGUCUACACACGCAGAUUAAAUAACAGCGAAUGCUUGGGACCAGCAGUUAGCGUAAUGGCUAUGUCGCUGGAC
This is a long non-coding RNA of Tupaia belangeri chinensis (Chinese tree shrew), 536 nucleotides long. RefSeq lists it as uncharacterized. NCBI's taxonomy places the organism in Eukaryota, Metazoa, Chordata, Mammalia, Scandentia, Tupaiidae. The transcript is spliced from 3 exons. The record is from RefSeq and is a predicted model, not a curated record.